AUGCACGCUGGCGGCGUGCUUAACACCUGCAAGUCGCACGGAAAGGCCUCUGCUUGCAGGGGUACUCGAGUGGCGAACGGGUGAGUAACACGUGGGUGAUCUGCACUGCACUUCGGGAUAAGCCUGGGAAACUGGGUCUAAUACCGGAUAGGACAAUGGUUUGGAUGCUGUUGUGGAAAGUUUUUCGGUGUGGGAUGAGCUCGCGGCCUAUCAGCUUGUUGGUGGGGUAAUGGCCUACCAAGGCGUCGACGGGUAGCCGGCCUGAGAGGGUGUACGGCCACAUUGGGACUGAGAUACGGCCCAGACUCCUACGGGAGGCAGCAGUGGGGAAUAUUGCACAAUGGGCGCAAGCCUGAUGCAGCGACGCCGCGUGGGGGAUGACGGCCUUCGGGUUGUAAACUCCUUUCGCUAGGGACGAAGCGUUUUUGUGACGGUACCUGGAGAAGAAGCACCGGCUAACUACGUG
RNAcentral lists this ribosomal RNA (466 nucleotides) under uncultured bacterium. RNAcentral describes it as "partial 16S ribosomal RNA". It matches the Rfam family "Bacterial small subunit ribosomal RNA", at positions 29 to 507 of the family's 1533-position model. The record is from RNAcentral.